RNAcentral lists this ribosomal RNA (253 nucleotides) under uncultured bacterium. RNAcentral describes it as "partial 16S ribosomal RNA". It matches the Rfam family "Bacterial small subunit ribosomal RNA", at positions 524 to 776 of the family's 1533-position model. The record is from RNAcentral.
UACAGAGGGUGCGAGCGUUAAUCGGAAUUACUGGGCGUAAAGGGUGCGUAGGUGGUUUUGUAAGUUAGAUGUGAAAGUCCUGGGCUUAACCUGGGGAUUGCGUCUGAUACUGCGAAGCUAGAGUUCUGUAGAGGAAAGUGAAAUUUCCGGUGUAGCAGUGAAAUGCGUAGAUAUCGGAAGGAACAUCAGUGGCGAAGGCGACUUUCUGGACAGGGACUGACACUGAGGCACGAAAGCGUGGGGAGCAAACAGG